AGACAAAUUAAUCACAAAAUCCUAACAAAGUUUAUACAAGAAUCAAAUUGAUUAAACAUCAAUCAAGAACAAUUAAAAUUCCACCUAAUUGAAAUUCUACAAUUCUAAUUAAUUCUAACAAUCCUAAUUAAAAUUCUAAAAUCUAUUAAUCCUAAAAUUCUAAUUAAAUCUAAAGUUCAGCGGCAACAACAUUCAACUUCAUCGUGCUUUCUACUUUGCUUCGUCUUCCUUACCUUGCGUCCAAGUAUGAACCCAAACGAGAAAAAAGUUGAAGAAUAACGACUUUAGAAUUGACUUCAAUUACCGAAACCAUAUUAAUCGUUCAUCAUUCAUCUCCAGUUCAUUUCCGUGCGCGCAUAAAUGAUGAAGAACAGACUCCAAAAAUGAGAAAACUCACAGGAUUUGAAGCUAUUACAAACAGGAAUUUAUGUGCAAAAUGGAUGACUUAAUAUGGAAGCAUAUUGGCAUGAAGAUUAUGGAUGAAGGAUUAACAAUAGAUCAUGAAGAAUGAAGAGUGGAACUAUAAAGUUCAAGACUUUUAGAAAACAUGUUGACUUUGGUCAAAGUUGACCAAAACAUCAACUGUUGAGCAAAGUCAACCUUUGGCCAACAUGAUAUUUUUUUGUUAUUUUCUUUAUAUACAUUUGUAAAUGUGAUGGAGUGGACAUUAGUGUAAUAUGACUCUUCGAUUUUAAUGACAAGAAAGUUUUAGAUUUCAAAA
Long non-coding RNA from Lathyrus oleraceus (garden pea), 721 nucleotides. RefSeq lists it as uncharacterized. The record is from RefSeq and is a predicted model, not a curated record. NCBI's taxonomy places the organism in Eukaryota, Viridiplantae, Streptophyta, Magnoliopsida, Fabales, Fabaceae. The transcript is spliced from 2 exons.